This is a long non-coding RNA of Ixodes scapularis (black-legged tick), 962 nucleotides long. RefSeq lists it as uncharacterized. NCBI's taxonomy places the organism in Eukaryota, Metazoa, Arthropoda, Arachnida, Ixodida, Ixodidae. The transcript has 3 exons. The record is from RefSeq and is a predicted model, not a curated record.
CACUGCUAGUGCUUGAACGAAGACGCGGCAUACGGAAAAAAAGAGACCGGAAAUACCUCGAAAUGUACGUUACUUCGUUUGACGCGAAAGAAUUUACCCUGGGAGCAUACGAAGCACCAAUAUGCGUCCCGGUCUCCGGCGGUCGGAUGUUGAUGUGAGUCCCCCCAACGUCAGCACGGUGAUGUGCGACGCGAGUGAGCCUUUCUACUUUUUGGCGGAGACCCCUUUUCGCCAGCAAGUGACUCGGUGUCUCCGUGAAGCACCGAAGUGUAGCUACAGCCCUCUUCGGCGAGCUGAACGGGCAGCCGAGCUUUCGAAGGCCGAUCUCCCGCAGCGCUGGAACCCGGAGAACCGCGCCAUGGCGCUCGCUGAGAAUCCACCGGCUGCCGGGCUACUGAAAGGGCCCUCUGCUCGGAGGACAUGCUGAGGGCCCUGUAUAAUGCCCUCGGCGCCUGUGCGACUUCCGGGGGUCUGCGUUUCACGGCCCCGUUACCAGCUGGGAAGUUCUCCAUGGAGUUGCUAAUGGCAUGGGAGGACAAAUACGCUGCUCAAGAGUGUAACCGGAUCGUUUGACUACUGGGACGACUCUUUUACAGGGGACGACAUCCUGUCCAGCACCAGCUUCACCAUCUGGGACCAAGUGCACGAGGGGUCGCACUGCAAGGAGAUGAAAGGAGGGCACUGCGACCUUGAGGUCAAGCUUGUACAUCUACCAUUACAGUCCUGAAUGGAUGCCAAUUGGUACUGAUGACGUUAUGAAGGUGAAACGUCCCUGGAUCUAAAGGGAAAAUUUGAUUGAAGGCGAGCUGAAGUUGUUUCUGACUUUAUCCUCUUACGACUUGAAAGUAAUCUGCCUACUUCAUGAAUACCGAAGAUGCAGAAUUUGUUUCCGUAACUGUCCCACUUCAACGUAAUGUGCACAUUGAAACCUGUUCCUUUUCUUUUUCUGCUUUCCGGCGAGA